RNAcentral lists this ribosomal RNA (831 nucleotides) under Peltigera malacea. RNAcentral's name for it is "SSU rRNA". It matches the Rfam family "Bacterial small subunit ribosomal RNA", at positions 370 to 1210 of the family's 1533-position model. The record is from RNAcentral. Lineage: Eukaryota; Fungi; Ascomycota; Lecanoromycetes; Peltigerales; Peltigeraceae.
AAUAGCCUAACGGCUGAACCAGCAACUUGGAGGAAUGUAAGGCAAUAGCCUAAUGCAUUAUUUUAAUGUUUAAUCGACCAUGUCGAAUAAAAUUCUAGGUAGAGUUUUGACAAUGACAUUCUCUAUCUAUGUGUCUUGACCAAAUUACGUGCCAGCAGUCGCGGUAAUACGUAAAAGACUAGUGUUAUUCAUCUUUAAUAGGUUUAAAGAGUACCAAGACGGUUAAUAAAGCCCCUAAAGGGUACAAGUUAACUAGAGUUAUAUGAAAGGGAGCUCUUAGGUACUGUUGAGUGUAGAGAUGAAAUUCUGUGAUACCAGAUGAUUGGCACGGGUCUAUGCGAAGGCAUCUCCUUAUGUAAUAACUGACGUUGUAGGACGAAGGCUUUUGAAGUGAACAGGAUUCGAUACCCCAGUAAUCUAGGCAGAAAAUGAUGAGUGUCAUAGGUUAAAUAUAAUUUAGUCUAUAAAUGAAAGUGUAAGCAYUCCACCUCAAGAGUAAUUUGGCAACAUUGGAACUGAAAUCAUUAGACCGUUUCUGAAACCAGUAGUGAAGUAUGUUKUUUAAUUUGAUGAUCCGCAAAGAACCUUACCACUUUUAAUAAUGUUAAAAUUAUUAUUUUUUUUUAUAACAUUGUUAAAAUUAUUAUCUUGAAUAAAUAUUUUUUUAAUAUUUACAAGCGUUGCACGGCUGUCUUCAGUUAAUGUCGUGAGAUUUUGGUUAGUUCCAUUAAAUUAACGAAAACCCUUACUUUAUUUUGAUAUAAAGUUGUUCACCGUUAUAUUGGAUAUGAUAAUAGGGACCAGGACAAGUCAUCAUGACCUAAAUAUUGU